RNAcentral lists this ribosomal RNA (1286 nucleotides) under Cryptocephalus androgyne. RNAcentral's name for it is "16S ribosomal RNA". The stretch from base 1059 to 1217 matches the Rfam family "Archaeal large subunit ribosomal RNA", at positions 2542 to 2701 of the family's 2987-position model. Lineage: Eukaryota; Metazoa; Arthropoda; Insecta; Coleoptera; Chrysomelidae. The record is from RNAcentral.
UUGUUUAAUCAAUUUAUUCUGAUGCUAGAAUUUUAUUUAUGUUAUUAUUUAGUUUUUAUUUUAAUAAAGUAUUCUAAUUUUAUUAUUUUUACGAAAAAAUUUUUUUUAUUAUAGUUGAUUUGUAUUGUGAAAGAAUAUUUUAAAUUGACGAUAAGAAAGAUUAAUUUUUUGUACCUUGUGUAUCAGGGCCAAUUAAAUUAUUUAUAUGUACAAAUUAUAGAUCUCGAAUCUAAAAGAGCUAAAAUUAUAUUUUGUAACUGUUAUAUAAUUUUAAAAAAUAUAAUUUUAGUAAUGAAACGUUAUUCGUUUUUUGAUAUAUCUAGUUUUUUGAGAAAUAAAUUUAAUUUAUUUAUUUUUAAAAUUUUUUUAAUUUAUUAAUUAAAUUUUGAGAAUAUAAAAUUUUCUUAGGGAAAAGCUUGAGGAAAAAUGUUUAUUUAAAUUUAAUAUAAGAUUUGUAGGUAGGAUUAUAAUUUUCCGUCUUUUAUAAAAUGUUAUAGUUUUCUUAUUAUGAAUUAUUAUUUUUAUAAUUAAUAGGUUGGGUAUCAAAAUAUUUUAUUAAAUGUAAAAGUUUAAGUAAUAAUGAUUGGAUUAGUAUAUUUUUAUGUAUUAAUAUUUUUACAUUUUAGAUGUAAAUAAUGAAUUCGGCAAUAUUAUUUUUCACCUGUUUAUUAAAAACAUGUCCUUUAGAUAAAAAUUUAAGGUCUGGCCUGCUCUAUGAUGAUAGAUUAAAUGGCUGCAGUAUUUUGACUGUACUAAGGUAGCAUAAUCAUUAGUUUCUUGAUUGGGAACUGGAAUGAAAGGUUUGAUGAAAAAAUGACUGUCUCUUAUAUAUAAAUAGAAAUUUAUUUUUAAGUAAAAAAGCUUAAAUUUAAUUGAAAGACGAGAAGACCCUAUAGAGUUUUAUAAUUUAAUAGUUUUUAUUAAUAAAAAUUUAUUUAAACUAGGAUAAUUAUUUGAUUGGGGUGAUUAAAAAAUUAAUAGAACUUUUAUUAGUUAAAACUUAAGUUUAAGGUUUAUUUGAUCCAUUUUUAACGAUUAUAAGAAUAAAUUACCUUAGGGAUAACAGCAUAAUCUUUUUUUAGAGUUCUAAUCGAUAAAAGGGAUUGUGACCUCGAUGUUGGAUUAAAAUUUACUUUUGGCGCAAAAGCUAGAUGGUUGAGUCUGUUCGACUUUUAAAAUUUUACAUGAUCUGAGUUUAAACCGGCGUGAGCCAGGUUGGUUUCUAUCUUUAAUAAAAUAAAAAUUUUUAGUACGAAAGGACCAAAUUUUUGAUUUAAAAUUUUAAA